RNAcentral lists this long non-coding RNA (1018 nucleotides) under Homo sapiens (human). RNAcentral's name for it is "non-protein coding lnc-ZNF345-29:2". Lineage: Eukaryota; Metazoa; Chordata; Mammalia; Primates; Hominidae. The record is from RNAcentral.
GGAAUCCCCGCAGGCGCUGGGUCUGCAGAUGGCGUCCAGGUACACAGUGGCGAGUGUGAUUCCGCAGUCUUGGGCUGUUUGGCCAAGCGCCCGCCGGACAUGGUACGCCGAAGGGUCAUCGGCGUGGAGUCCUCGCUUUCAGCGUCCGCGGCUGGGAAAUCGGCCAUCGCUACGGCGGGAACUGGGACUCGGGCUGCGUCCCGGCCCUUCCACAUCGGUCCACCGCACUCGUGGGCGCCCGCAUUGGUGCUGACAUAAUUUCCUGACCUCUGACCCGUAUUGUCUCGCGAUUAAAGGUCCAGAUUUGGAACAAAUCUCUCUAGAGAUUGAACAGAGCUGCGCCUGGAUCCCUCAGCAGUGAGGAGACCUGAAGACCAGAGGAAACACAGCAAGGGCUCACCAGAGAAGACAGGGCAAGGUGAGGGGGAUCUCCUAGCAGAGGAAACAACAUGCGCCAAUCAAGCAAAGAUAUUUUUGUGCAUUCAAGGAACACAGAGAGGAAAGACAGUGGCAGAUGGAGACGUAUAAAGCAGGGAUCCUGUUAUGAAAAGCCCUAAAAAAUAGGGUAUAGAGUUUGGGCCAUAUUUCAGAGGUAAUAAGAAAGCAUUCUGCAUUUUUAAAGUAAGGUUUAAAAAUGUUUCUAAUUAGAGAUACAGCAAAGUUGGUGUGAGAGGAUAAAGACUGAUAUACAUAAUCUGAGGAGUUCAUGAAAAUUCCAUGUAAAGCCUGUAGUAUGAAUUGGUCCUAGGAGACAGACAGCUUCAGGGGCAUAGAGAACUUUAAGCACUUUUCCAAGAAGAGUGAAGGGCUGGAGAAUAAAUUGUGAACUAAAAUAUAUUUUGUGUUUGAGAACAUGAAGUACUUGAGAGUGAUUAUUACACGGUUUUAAGAAAAAACUAGUUCUUUUAAAUAAAACUUUUUUUUAGCUGAGCACAGUGGCUCACGCCUGUAAUCCCAGCACUUUGGGAGGCCGAGGCAGGCGGAUCACCUGAGGUCGGGAGUUCGAGAUCAGCCUGAC